Molecule: long non-coding RNA, 776 nt
Filed under: Homo sapiens (human)
Lineage: Eukaryota; Metazoa; Chordata; Mammalia; Primates; Hominidae
Description: non-protein coding lnc-ZNF77-165:2
Source: RNAcentral
CUGGGACUGCGCGGGUGCUGCGGUGAGCUUCGGGGUCUGGUAUGGCUGGUGCUUGUGCAGCCACUGCCUCCGGCCUCGGUGAUUGCGAAACUGAGGGGCAGUUGGGUGCAGUGAGACUUGACGUGCCUUUUAAGAGAAGAAAGAUGCGUGAAGACUGUCCUGCACUUGGUGCAUUCAUAUGGUUUUUCUCCAGCAGAAACUUUCUUGUGCAGGAACUGAUGAGAAAGAAAUGAGUUCAUUAAAAACCAAGGGAAGGAAUGAUGCCAUCCUCACCUACUGAGGCCAGGUUCCGGAAGGUCUCCAGCAUCACAUCUCUGUAGAGGUCCCUCUGAGCAGAAUCCAGCAAAGCCCACUCCUCCAGGGUGAAGUCCACAGCCACAUCCUCAAAGACCACUGAGUCCUAAGACAAACCACACAGGUGUGCAGGAGGAUUGGAGACACUGAAAGUACUGGGGAACUGGACUCAAUUCAUAAAUUCAAACAAGAUUCUGUGGUGUCCCAACACCUCCUCUAUGACGCGAAUGUUAGAUCUUUUACUUAUUCACAAUCACUUCCUAGUAAACUUCAUGGCACCACUAUCAGUCUGAACUUAUCUCUGCCUUUUUACUGCGACUGCUCUUAUUUUCCUCUACCAGGAGGGUCUAGAGAAAUGCUAUGCAAAUGAAGUAACUUUUCCAUUUGAAACGUUGCAUAACGCAGCAGGCCUCGGUUGUCCAAACGAUGCACAUUUCAUAGGACUUUCGGAAAAGCCUUCCACCAGCUACUGCAGAAAAUGG